Molecule: ribosomal RNA, 484 nt
Filed under: uncultured bacterium
Lineage: Bacteria
Description: partial 16S ribosomal RNA
Rfam family: Bacterial small subunit ribosomal RNA
Source: RNAcentral
AUUGAACGCUGGCGGAAUGCUUUACACAUGCAAGUCGAACGGCAGCACGGGGGCAACCCUGGUGGCGAGUGGCGAACGGGUGAGUAAUACAUCGGAACGUGCCCGGUCGUGGGGGAUAACGUAGCGAAAGUUACGCUAAUUCCGCAUACGAUCUGAGGAUGAAAGCGGGGGACCUUCGGGCCUCGCGCGAUCGGAGCGGCCGAUGUCAGAUUAGGUAGUUGGUGGGGUAAAGGCCUACCAAGCCGACGAUCUGUAGCUGGUCUGAGAGGACGACCAGCCACACUGGGACUGAGACACGGCCCAGACUCCUACGGGAGGCAGCAGUGGGGAAUUUUGGACAAUGGGCGCAAGCCUGAUCCAGCCAUUCCGCGUGCAGGACGAAGGCCUUCGGGUUGUAAACUGCUUUUGUAUGGAACGAAAAGGCUCUGGCUAAUACCUGGGGCUCAUGACGGUACCGUAAGAAUAAGCACCGGCUAACUACGUG